This 855-nucleotide long non-coding RNA is filed under the name Androctonus crassicauda. The record is from RNAcentral. Lineage: Eukaryota; Metazoa; Arthropoda; Arachnida; Scorpiones; Buthidae.
AAUUUCUAAUAAUUAAUUAUUAAACCAAUAGAUGAUGGUGUCAUAGUAUAAUUAAUUAAUAAUUGCUAAUUUGGCAAUUUAAUUCAAAAAUAAAUCACUAAAGAUAUAAUUUAGUUAGUUUGGGAAUAUUUGCAUACAAUGAUAUUGAACAAAUGCUUUUUAUUUUUUAAAACAAGAAAUUGUGUAUUUUCUUGCUUACCAGAAUUUUAUAUGGAUAAAGCUAAAGAAACAUAUUAUAAAAAUAAAGAUUGAAUAUUUAUUUUCUUUGUCCAAGUUUCUAGCACUGGCUCAUGGUGAAACAGUCAUUUACCAUCUUGAAGAAUCUAGGUUCAAUUCCUCUUUCAGUUUUUUCAGGGGGGUCUUGGCCCCAGUUGUUGAACCUCAUCCUCUAUCUGACAGCUGAUUCUACUAAUAGGGUGAGAACAGAAAUGGAAUGGUUUCUAGCGUUGGCCCAUAGUGAGAAUGGAAAUGUCCUGUUGCAUAAUACCCACUGAGUGGAAAGUGAUGUCAGAUCAUGUAGAGAAAAACAUGCCCUCCAAUUGACUGGCUGCUACUAUUGCAAAACCAUUUUUGGUGUGUCUGUUAUAAGUAUGAAUUUUCAUUGUAAAUAAUCACUGUCAUAAGUAUGGAUUGUCAUAAGUUGGGGAUCACCUGUAAAAUUAAAGGAAAGCUUUUGUUACAUAUUUUUAUUUUCAGUUUUAUUAUUAUAAUGAAUUAAUUAAUAAAGCAUAAAAACUUAUAAAAAAAUAUAAAAGAUAUAUUAAUGAAAUAUUCUAAUCAAUAUAUAUGUUAUAACAAUGCAACAAAAUAAUAUAAAAACAUUAUAUUAUCUUUUAAAAAAAAAGUACAAAUAAC